Molecule: ribosomal RNA, 585 nt
Filed under: uncultured fungus
Lineage: Eukaryota; Fungi
Description: eukaryotic LSU rRNA
Rfam family: 5.8S ribosomal RNA (bases 226-379)
Source: RNAcentral
UUGGUCAUUUAGAGGAAGUAAAAGUCGUAACAAGGUCUCCGUAGGUGAACCUGCGGAGGGAUCAUUACAAGUUGACCCCGGCCCCCGGGCCGGGAUGUUCACAACCCUUUGUUGUCCGACUCUGUUGCCUCCGGGGCGACCCUGCCUCCGGGCGGGGGCCCCGGGUGGACACUUCAAAACUCUUGCGUAACUUUGCAGUCUGAGUAAAUUUAAUUAAUAAAUUAAAACUUUCAACAACGGAUCUCUUGGUUCUGGCAUCGAUGAAGAACGCAGCGAAAUGCGAUACGUAGUGUGAAUUGCAGAAUUCAGUGAAUCAUCGAAUCUUUGAACGCACAUUGCGCCCUUUGGUAUUCCAAAGGGCAUGCCUGUUCGAGCGUCAUUUGUACCCUCAAGCUCGGCUUGGUGUUGGGACUCGCGGUAACCCGCGUUCCCCAAAUCGAUUGGCGGUCACGUCGAGCUUCCAUAGCGUAGUAAUCAUACACCUCGUUACUGGUAAUCGUCGCGGCCACGCCGUUAAACCCCAACUUCUGAAUGUUGACCUCGGAUCAGGUAGGAAUACCCGCUGAACUUAAGCAUAUCAAUAAG